RNAcentral lists this transfer RNA (73 nucleotides) under Cunninghamella echinulata. RNAcentral describes it as "tRNA-Val". It matches the Rfam family "tRNA". From Rfam's summary of the family: Transfer RNA (tRNA) molecules are approximately 80 nucleotides in length. Their secondary structure includes four short double-helical elements and three loops (D, anti-codon, and T loops). The record is from RNAcentral. RNAcentral also lists the same sequence under 1 other name. Lineage: Eukaryota; Fungi; Mucoromycota; Mucoromycetes; Mucorales; Cunninghamellaceae.
GUCCGUGUAGUGUAGUGGUUAUCACGUUUGCUUUACACGCAAAAGGCCUCCGGUUCGAUCCCGGACAUGGACA